This 90-nucleotide transfer RNA is filed under the name Chloroflexota bacterium. RNAcentral's name for it is "Chloroflexi bacterium tRNA-Ser". It matches the Rfam family "tRNA". From Rfam's summary of the family: Transfer RNA (tRNA) molecules are approximately 80 nucleotides in length. Their secondary structure includes four short double-helical elements and three loops (D, anti-codon, and T loops). Further hydrogen bonds mediate the characteristic L-shaped molecular structure. tRNAs have two regions of fundamental functional importance: the anti-codon, which is responsible for specific mRNA codon recognition, and the 3' end, to which the tRNAs corresponding amino acid is attached (by aminoacyl-tRNA synthetases). tRNAs cope with the degeneracy of the genetic code in two manners: having more than one tRNA (with a specific anti-codon) for a particular amino acid; and 'wobble' base-pairing, i.e. permitting non-standard base-pairing at the 3rd anti-codon position. The record is from RNAcentral. Lineage: Bacteria; Bacillati; Chloroflexota.
GGAGGGGUGCCGGAGCGGUCGAACGGAACCGUCUUGAAAACGGUCGUCCCCGCAAGGGGACCGUGGGUUCGAAUCCCACCCCCUCCGCCA